RNAcentral lists this ribosomal RNA (427 nucleotides) under uncultured bacterium. RNAcentral describes it as "partial 16S ribosomal RNA". It matches the Rfam family "Bacterial small subunit ribosomal RNA", at positions 355 to 774 of the family's 1533-position model. The record is from RNAcentral.
UGGGGAAUAUUGGACAAUGGGCGAAAGCCUGAUCCAGCCAUGCCGCGUGUGGGAAGAAGGUCUUCGGAUUGUAAAGCACUUUAAGUUGGGAGGAAGGGCAUUAACCUAAUACGUUAGUGUUUUGACGUUACCGACAGAAUAAGCACCGGCUAACUCUGUGCCAGCAGCCGCGGUAAUACAGAGGGUGCAAGCGUUAAUCGGAAUUACUGGGCGUAAAGCGCGCGUAGGUGGUUUGUUAAGUUGGAUGUGAAAGCCCCGGGCUCAACCUGGGAACUGCAUCCAAAACUGGCAAGCUAGAGUACGGUAGAGGGUGGUGGAAUUUCCUGUGUAGCGGUGAAAUGCGUAGAUAUAGGAAGGAACACCGGUGGCGAAGGCGACCACCUGGACUGAUACUGACACUGAGGUGCGAAAGCGUGGGGAGCAAACA